AUUGAACGCUGGCGGCAUGCUUUACACAUGCAAGUCGAACGGCAGCGCGGGCUUCGGCCUGGCGGCGAGUGGCGAACGGGUGAGUAAUACAUCGGAACGUGCCCAGUAGUGGGGGAUAGCUCGGCGAAAGCCGGAUUAGUACCGCAUACGACCUGAGGGUGAAAGCGGGGGAUCUUCGGACCUCGCGCUAUUGGAGCGGCCGAUGGCAGAUUAGCUAGUUGGUGGGGUAAAGGCCUACCAAGGCGACGAUCUGUAGCUGGUCUGAGAGGACGACCAGCCACACUGGGACUGAGACACGGCCCAGACUCCUACGGGAGGCAGCAGUGGGGAAUUUUGGACAAAGGGCGAAAGCCUGAUCCAGCAAUGCCGCGUGUGUGAUGAAGGCCUUCGGGUUGUAAAGCACUUUUGGCGGGAACGAAAAGGACUGUGCCAAUACCACGGUUCGAUGACGGUACCCGCAGAAUAAGCACCGGCUAACUACGUG
RNAcentral lists this ribosomal RNA (484 nucleotides) under uncultured bacterium. Its description in RNAcentral is "partial 16S ribosomal RNA". It matches the Rfam family "Bacterial small subunit ribosomal RNA", at positions 29 to 507 of the family's 1533-position model. The record is from RNAcentral.